UCGAGGGGUAUGGCAGCAAUGCCAGAGACCGGCGCACGGGUGCGUAACGCGUACGCAAUCUACCUUUUACAGGGGAAUAGCCCAGAGAAAUUUGGAUUAAUGCCCCAUGGUAUUAUAGAGUGGCAUCAUUUUAUAAUUAAAGUUCCAACGGUAAAAGAUGAGCAUGCGUCCCAUUAGUUAGCUGGUAAGGUAACGGCUUACCAAGACGAUGAUGGGUAGGGGUCCUGAGAGGGAGAUCCCCCACACUGGUACUGAGACACGGACCAGACUCCUACGGGAGGCAGCAGUGAGGAAUAUUGGACAAUGGGCGCGAGCCUGAUCCAGCCAUGCCGCGUGCAGGAAGACGGUCCUAUGGAUUGUAAACUGCUUUUGUACGGGAAGAAACACUCCUUCGUGAAGGAGCUUGACGGUACCGUAAGAAUAAGGAUCGGCUAACUCCGUGCCAGCAGCCGCGGUAAUACGGAGGAUCCAAGCGUUAUCCGGAAUCAUUGGGUUUAAAGGGUCCGUAGGCGGUUUUGUAAGUCAGUGGUGAAAUCUGGUCGCUCAACGAUCA
This 553-nucleotide ribosomal RNA is filed under the name uncultured Bacteroidota bacterium. RNAcentral's name for it is "bacterial SSU rRNA". It matches the Rfam family "Bacterial small subunit ribosomal RNA", at positions 62 to 618 of the family's 1533-position model. The record is from RNAcentral. Lineage: Bacteria; Pseudomonadati; Bacteroidota.